Molecule: transfer RNA, 84 nt
Filed under: Mustela putorius furo (domestic ferret)
Lineage: Eukaryota; Metazoa; Chordata; Mammalia; Carnivora; Mustelidae
Rfam family: tRNA
About the family: Transfer RNA (tRNA) molecules are approximately 80 nucleotides in length. Their secondary structure includes four short double-helical elements and three loops (D, anti-codon, and T loops).
Source: Rfam by way of RNAcentral
GCCUGGGUGGCUCAGUCAGGUAAGUGUCUGACUUUGGCUCAGGUUGUGAUUUCAGGGUCCUGGGAUCAAAUCCCACCCCAGGCU